Molecule: transfer RNA, 69 nt
Filed under: Hemipyxis plagioderoides
Lineage: Eukaryota; Metazoa; Arthropoda; Insecta; Coleoptera; Chrysomelidae
Description: tRNA-Phe
Source: RNAcentral
ACUUAAAUAGCUUAUAAAGAGCAUAAUAUUGAAGAUAUUAAGGAAGUUUUUACUUUUAAGUAUUAGAUA